GUUGUCAGCAGCCGCGGUAAAAGCGUAGGGGGACAAGCGUUAUCCGGAUUUACUGGGUGUAAAGGGGUAGCGUAGACGGUUCUGCAAGUCUGGAGUGAAAGCCCGGGGCUCAACCCCGGGACUGCUUUGGAAACUGUGGAACUAGAGUGCAGGAGAGGUAAGUGGAAUUCCUAGUGUAGCGGUGAAAUUGCGUAGAUAUUAGGAGGAACACCAGUGGCGAAGGCGGCUUACUGGACUGUAACUGACGUUGAGGCUCG
RNAcentral lists this ribosomal RNA (257 nucleotides) under uncultured Lachnospiraceae bacterium. RNAcentral describes it as "partial 16S ribosomal RNA". It matches the Rfam family "Bacterial small subunit ribosomal RNA", at positions 504 to 755 of the family's 1533-position model. Lineage: Bacteria; Bacillati; Bacillota; Clostridia; Lachnospirales; Lachnospiraceae. The record is from RNAcentral.